Long non-coding RNA from Brassica napus (rape), 934 nucleotides. RefSeq lists it as uncharacterized. The record is from RefSeq and is a predicted model, not a curated record. The transcript has 2 exons. NCBI's taxonomy places the organism in Eukaryota, Viridiplantae, Streptophyta, Magnoliopsida, Brassicales, Brassicaceae.
UGCAGAUUGAUAUGCUUAGGUAAAUGAAUUAUUCACUUUUAUAUUAUUUUGACUAUAAUCUCAGAAAAUUAAUUGAAAGAUUGUCUUACAAAAAUAUAAAUAAUGCAAGUUUAUGUUUAUAUGCUUAGGUAAAUCAAUCAUGCACUUUUAUAUUAUUUUGACUAUAAUCUCAGAAAAUUAAUUGAAAGAUUUUCCUUUCAAAUAUAUAAUUAAUGCAAGUUUAUGUUUAUAUGCUUAGGUAAAUGAAUCAUGCACUUUUAUAUUAUUUUGACUAUAAUCUCAGAAGAUUUUCUUUAGAAAAAUAUAAUUAACACAAGUUUAUGUUUUUAUGUAGAUUGACAUGCUUAGGUAAAUGAAUCAUGCACUUUUAUAUUAUUUUGACUAUAAUCUCAGAAAAUUAAUUGAAAGAUUUUCUUACAAAAAUAUAAAUAAUACAAGUUUAUGUUUAUAUGCUCAGGUAAAUGAAUUAUGCACUUUUAUAUUAUUUUGACUAUAAUCUCAUAAAAUUAAUUGAAAGAUUUCCUUACGAAAAUAUAAUUAAUGCAAGUUUAUGUUUAUAUGUUUAGGUAAAUGAACCAUGCACUUUUAUAUUAUUUUGACUAUAAUCUCAGAAAAUUAAUUGAAAGAUUUUCUUUACAAAAAUAUAAUUAAUGCAAGUUUAUGUUUAUAUGUAUAUAUAUAGGAAUCUAAAAUAUAAUAGAACUCUCAAACAAUUUAUAAAACAUCCUACAAAAUGAGUCUCUCCAAAAAAUGUACAUUAAUCGCAUUUGUUUUCACUCUUUUCUUCGCGAUGUCAAUUGUUCGCUGCACCGAUAUUGUUUCAGAUUUCGGAGUAAAGUAUAAUGUGUGCUAUGGUCCAUGUGACGACAAAGGAGUGUGUAGACCGUUUUGUUCUUCCAAAAAAGGUCUGAAAAUGGGAGACUGUGUUGGCAAA